RNAcentral lists this ribosomal RNA (300 nucleotides) under uncultured Bacillus sp. Its description in RNAcentral is "partial 16S ribosomal RNA". It matches the Rfam family "Bacterial small subunit ribosomal RNA", at positions 496 to 795 of the family's 1533-position model. Lineage: Bacteria; Bacillati; Bacillota; Bacilli; Caryophanales; Bacillaceae. The record is from RNAcentral.
GCUAAGGUGGUACGCGCGGGUGCGGUAAUUCGAAGGAGUGUGUCGUUUUGCUGAUGUGCUGGGCGUAAAGGGUGCGUAGGCGGUGCGGUAAGUCAGGCGUGAAAGCCCCGGGCUCAACCCGGGAAUAGCGCUUGAUACUGUUGCGCUUGAAUCCAGGAGAGGAUGGCGGAAUUCCCAGUGUAGAGGUGAAAUUCGUAGAUAUUGGGAAGAACACCAGUGGCGAAGGCGGCCAUCUGGCCUGGAAUUGACGCUGAGGCGCGAAAGCGUGGGGAGCAAACAGGAUUAGAUACCCUAGUAGUC